UACGGAGGGUGCAAGCGUUAAUCGGAAUUACUGGGCGUAAAGGGUUCGUAGGUGGUUAGAUAAGUUAUCUGUAAAAUCCCUGGGCUUAACCUGGGCAGGUCAGAUAAGACUGUUUGACUCGAGUAUGGGAGAGGGUAGUGGAAUUUCCGGUGUAGCGGUGAAAUGCGUAGAGAUCGGAAGGAACACCAGUGGCGAAGGCGGCUACCUGGCCCAAUACUGACACUGAGGAACGAAAGCGUGGGGAGCAAACAGG
Molecule: ribosomal RNA, 253 nt
Filed under: uncultured Legionella sp.
Lineage: Bacteria; Pseudomonadati; Pseudomonadota; Gammaproteobacteria; Legionellales; Legionellaceae
Description: partial 16S ribosomal RNA
Rfam family: Bacterial small subunit ribosomal RNA
Source: RNAcentral